UACGUAGGGUGCGAGCGUUAAUCGGAAUUACUGGGCGUAAAGCGUGCGCAGGCGGUUCGUUGUGUCGGCGGUGAAAUCCCCGGGCUCAACCUGGGAAUGGCCGGUGAAACUGGCGAACUGGAGUGUGGCAGAGGGGGGUGGAAUUCCGCGUGUAGCAGUGAAAUGCGUAGAGAUGCGGAGGAACACCGAUGGCGAAGGCAGCCCCCUGGGCUGACACUGACGCUCAGGCACGAAAGCGUGGGGAGCAAACAGG
Molecule: ribosomal RNA, 253 nt
Filed under: uncultured bacterium
Lineage: Bacteria
Description: partial 16S ribosomal RNA
Rfam family: Bacterial small subunit ribosomal RNA
Source: RNAcentral